CGUAACAAGGUCUCCGUAGGUGAACCUGCGGAGGGAUCAUUACACAAAUAUGAAGGCGGGCUGGAACCUCUCGGGGUUACAGCCUUGCUGAAUUAUUCACCCUUGUCUUUUGCGUACUUCUUGUUUCCUUGGUGGGUUCGCCCACCACUAGGACAAACAUAAACCUUUUGUAAUUGCGAUCAGCGUCAGUAACAAAUUAAUAAUUACAACUUUCAACAACGGAUCUCUUGGUUCUGGCAUCGAUGAAGAACGCAGCGAAAUGCGAUAAGUAGUGUGAAUUGCAGAAUUCAGUGAAUCAUCGAAUCUUUGAACGCACAUUGCGCCCUUUGGUAUUCCAAAGGGCAUGCCUGUUCGAGCGUCAUUUGUACCCUCAAGCUUUGCUUGGUGUUGGGCGUCUUGUCUCUAGCUUUGCUGGAGACUCGCCUUAAAGUAAUUGGCAGCCGGCCUACUGGUUUCGGAGCGCAGCACAAGUCGCACUCUCUAUCAGCAAAGGUCUAGCAUCCACUAAGCCUUUUUUUCAACUUUUGACCUCGGAUCAGGUAGGGAUACCCGCUGAACUUAAGCAUAUCA
Molecule: ribosomal RNA, 570 nt
Filed under: uncultured fungus
Lineage: Eukaryota; Fungi
Description: eukaryotic LSU rRNA
Rfam family: 5.8S ribosomal RNA (bases 208-361)
Source: RNAcentral